GCUACAGGCUUAACACAUGCAAGUCGAGGGGCAGCAUGGUCUUAGCUUGCUAAGACUGAUGGCGACCGGCGCACGGGUGAGUAACACGUAUCCAACCUGCCGUCUACUCUUGGACAGCCUUCUGAAAGGAAGAUUAAUACAAGAUGGCAUCAUGAGUCCGCAUGUUCACAUGAUUAAAGGUAUUCCGGUAGACGAUGGGGAUGCGUUCCAUUAGAUAGUAGGCGGGGUAACGGCCCACCUAGUCUUCGAUGGAUAGGGGUUCUGAGAGGAAGGUCCCCCACAUUGGAACUGAGACACGGUCCAGACUCCUACGGGAGGCAGCAGUGAGGAAUAUUGGUCAAUGGGCGAGAGCCUGAACCAGCCAAGUAGCGUGAAGGAUGACUGCCCUAUGGGUUGUAAACUUCUUUUAUAAAGGAAUAAAGUCGGGUAUGCAUACCCGUUUGCAUGUACUUUAUGAAUAAGGAUCGGCUAACUCCGUGCCAGCAGCCGCGGUAAUACGGAGGAUCCGAGCGUUAUCCGGAUUUAUUGGGUUUAAAGGGAGCGUAGAUGGAUGUUCAAGUCAGUUGUGAAAGUUUGCGGCUCAACCGUAAAAUUGCAGUUGAUACUGGAUAUCUUGAGUGCAGUUGAGGCAGGCGGAAUUCGUGGUGUAGCGGUGAAAUGCUUAGAUAUCACGAAGAACUCCGAUUGCGAAGGCAGCCUGCUAAGCUGCAACUGACAUUGAGGCUCGAAAGUGUGGGUAUCAAACAGGAUUAGAUACCCUGGUAGUCCACACGGUAAACGAUGAAUACUCGCUGUUUGCGAUAUACUGCAAGCGGCCAAGCGAAAGCGUUAAGUAUUCCACCUGGGGAGUACGCCGGCAACGGUGAAACUCAAAGGAAUUGACGGGGGCCCGCACAAGCGGAGGAACAUGUGGUUUAAUUCGAUGAUACGCGAGGAACCUUACCCGGGCUUAAAUUGCAGAUGAAUUACGGUGAAAGCCGUAAGCCGCAAGGCAUCUGUGAAGGUGCUGCAUGGUUGUCGUCAGCUCGUGCCGUGAGGUGUCGGCUUAAGUGCCAUAACGAGCGCAACCCUUGUUGUCAGUUACUAACAGGUUCCGCUGAGGACUCUGACAAGACUGCCAUCGUAAGAUGUGAGGAAGGUGGGGAUGACGUCAAAUCAGCACGGCCCUUACGUCCGGGGCUACACACGUGUUACAAUGGGGGGUACAGAGGGCCGCUACCACGCGAGUGGAUGCCAAUCCCCAAAACCUCUCUCAGUUCGGACUGGAGUCUGCAACCCGACUCCACGAAGCUGGAUUCGCUAGUAAUCGCGCAUCAGCCACGGCGCGGUGAAUACGUUCCCGGGCCUUGUACACACCGCCCGUCAAGCCAUGGGAGCCGGGGGUACCUGAAGUGCGUAACCGCGAGGAGCGCCCUAGGGUAAAACUGGUGACUGGGG
This 1437-nucleotide ribosomal RNA is filed under the name uncultured organism. Its description in RNAcentral is "SSU rRNA". It matches the Rfam family "Bacterial small subunit ribosomal RNA". The record is from RNAcentral.